GAUGAACGCUAGCGGCAGGCUUAACACAUGCAAGUCGAGGGGUAUAGUUCUUCGGAACUAGAGACCGGCGCACGGGUGCGUAACGCGUAUGCAAUCUACCUUUUGCAGAGGGAUAGCCCCAGAGAAAUUUGGAUUAAUACCUCAUAGUAUAGUACUUUGGCAUCAAGGAACUAUUGAAGUCACAACGGCAAAAGAUGAGCAUGCGUCCCAUUAGCUAGUUGGUAAGGUAACGGCUUACCAAGGCUACGAUGGGUAGGGGUCCUGAGAGGGAGAUCCCCCACACUGGUACUGAGACACGGACCAGACUCCUACGGGAGGCAGCAGUGAGGAAUAUUGGACAAUGGGCGCAAGCCUGAUCCAGCCAUGCCGCGUGCAGGAUGACGGUCCUAUGGAUUGUAAACUGCUUUUAUACAGGAAGAAACACUCCGACGUGUCGGAGCUUGACGGUACUGUAAGAAUAAGGAUCGG
This 468-nucleotide ribosomal RNA is filed under the name uncultured bacterium. RNAcentral describes it as "bacterial SSU rRNA". It matches the Rfam family "Bacterial small subunit ribosomal RNA", at positions 28 to 496 of the family's 1533-position model. The record is from RNAcentral.